RNAcentral lists this ribosomal RNA (460 nucleotides) under uncultured bacterium. RNAcentral describes it as "partial 16S ribosomal RNA". It matches the Rfam family "Bacterial small subunit ribosomal RNA", at positions 338 to 795 of the family's 1533-position model. The record is from RNAcentral.
CCUACGGGAGGCAGCAGUGAGGAAUAUUGGUCAAUGGGCGGAAGCCUGAACCAGCCAAGUAGCGUGCAGGAUGACGGCCCUACGGGUGGUAAGCUGCUUUUAUACGGGAAUAACGCGCCUUACGUGUAGGGCUUUGCAUGUACCGUAUGAAUAAGGACCGGCUAAUGCCGUGCCAGCAGCCGCGGUAAUACGGAGGGUCCGGGCGUUAUCCGGAUUUAUUGGGUUUAAAGGGAGCGUAGGCCGCAUGUCAAGCGUGCUGUGAAAUGGCCGGGCUCAACCCGGGCCUUGCAGCGGGAACUGGAGUGCUUGAGUCCGCGGAAGGCAGGCGGAAUUCGUCGUGUAGCGGUGAAAUGCUUAGAUAUGACGAAGAACCCCGAUUGCGAAGGCAGCUUGCUGCAGCGGAACUGACGCUGAUGCUCGAAAGCGCGGGUAUCGAACAGGAUUAGAUACCCGGGUAGUC